Molecule: long non-coding RNA, 3383 nt
Filed under: Homo sapiens (human)
Lineage: Eukaryota; Metazoa; Chordata; Mammalia; Primates; Hominidae
Description: HSALNT0363633
Source: RNAcentral
GCAGCUGGCUAAGCGCUAGCCCGGCCUGUGGCGAGUCUGCAGAGCUCGCCCGGAAGUAGCGUUGCGCGCGCAGAGGAUGGGCGCUGAGCAGCACACAGCCCGCGGCGGGGUCUCAGGAUCCGCGGCGCUGCCCGGGGCCGGGGGAAGGAAGCCAGCCGAGGAGACGCACGUGCCCUGAGUCCGGGAGCGGGGAGCCUCUUCAUCUCUCCAUCCUCCCUCCGCGCGCGCCCUCAGCCGUCCUCGUCCGCUCACCAUGCACCUCCCCUCCAAGAAAGGGCCACAUGCGUGCCAGGGACGCGAGCCCCGGCCACAGGGACAUAGCAGCCUAGAAGAGACAGAGCUUCACCAUGAUGGCCAGGCUGGUCUCGAACUCCUGGACUCAAGCAAUCUGCCUACCUGGGCCUCCCAAAGUGUUGGGAUUGUGGGCAUGAGCCACCUUGCCUGGCAUAUUCAAUGUUCUGUAGAGGAAUAAAAGUUCCCUGUUUUUCAAAUGAGCCCAUGAGUCAAAAAGAAUGGCAUAAGGCAAUUACCCAUAAAAACAAAAUUAAUAAAAUCUUCAUGUGGCACACCUAAAAACACUUCUCUUUCCAUGUAAGAACUAAAUAUAUGUCACUCUUCUGAUCAGGCACAUGGGCUGGAAUGAAAGAUCGUCCUUAUCUGGUUUAUUGCAGGACUCUCAUGCUUCCAACAGAAAAGGGAAAGCCAAUAGACCAAAAAAAAAAAAAAAAACCAAAAACUAGUUGUCUGAAGUUUUUUUUUUUUUUUUUUUUUAAAGUUUCUUUCUAUUCGAAUAACUAGCUGUCUAUAAUCAGGGUGCCAACUGAACAAUGAGUGCAGACACAGACAGGUUUGGCGUCACCUGUGUGUUCUGCGUCGGGAUCUGUAACAGCAGUGCCAGUGCACUGAAGUCGAAGGUUUCAUCUAAGGCCAGAAGUGCUCCGUGAACACCACUCUCUAUAAGAUUGUUUGCAUAUUCUUUAAGGCCAAUUGACAGGAUCCAGCGAAUCACUCGAUCAUUGCUCCAAACAAGCACGUCUGCAAAAGAAUAAAGACAAUUAUAAAAGUGGCUUCAGAAAGCCAUCUUUAUCACAUGUACCCUGUAAUGCAGGAGAAAGAUUCCUACCAUGGUUCCUAAUCCUUCGGCUCCUGAGAAAAGUGCUGGGAGACACUGCUAAAUAGACAACCAUUUGCUGCACUGAGACAAUGGUGUCCUGGCCCUGCUCCACUCUCAGGGAGACUCUCCCAUUAGAACUCAUCCUUCCAGUGAGCACGAGAGGAAUGAAGUUAUUAUUUCUAGAGAAAAGAAGAUGAUGAGGAUCCAGGGAUCAGAAGCCAGAGGACUGCAAGAACUUGAAUACCUAACAUGUAUAAACAUGCUUCACACACAGACUGGAGAGUCUUCUGAAAUACUUCAUCACGGAUGGAGCUGGCUCCAUAAUAAUAUGAACACUUUGCUCAAUUCAACAGAAACCUCUCAUUUCUAAUCUCGAAGUCUUUGUCUCAUUUUAAAAUGAGAGAAACUUAACAAUAUCAUCCAGCACAUUAGAGACUUUGCAGAAAAUCUUUUUUUUUCCUCUCUUUUUCUUGACAAUGUCCUGCUCUGUCACCCAGGCUGGAUACAGCCUGGUACCAUCAUAGCUCACUGCAGCCUCAACCUCCUGGGCUCAAGUGAUUUUUCCCACCUCAGCCUCCUGAGGAGCUGGAACUACAGGCGUGUGUCACGAAGCUCAGCUAAUUUUUUUGUACUGACAGGGUCUCACUAUGUUCCCCAGGCUGGUCUUGAACUCAUGGGCUCAGACAAUACUCCUGCCUUGGCCUCCCAAAGUGCUGAGAUUACAGGCAUGAGCUACCAUGCCCAGCCACAAUAUCUUAUGCAAAUUAACAAAUUAUUCAAUUUGCUCUAUUAGAUCUAAAAAUAGCCACUCUAAAAAUAUAUGCAGAUGAUCACCAAUCACUUCCAAAGACACUUCCAAAGAUCUUUGUCUAUUGGAAAAAGAUGUAAAAUAGAUACAGAAAACAAAACAGAUGGACAUAUUUCAUUGCCAAUGCCCUUUUCUGGAUAAAAGUCCAUACAUAUACACACACUGUAUAAAUGUCGACUUACGACUUUUCUCCUGAUUCACAUUAACUCAAUCACAAGUAGACUUCCCUUCAACUGGGCCAUCUCCCAACCAUAUUUUUAUCCUUAGUUUCUUUCUUAGUAUAAAGUGGGGAUGAAAACAGCACUUAGACUGACAGGGCUAAGGUAAAGAUGAAAGAAAGCAACCCCUGAGUACUUAGAACACCACCUGGCACCUACUCACUGUUAGUAAGACUGGCCUCUUCUUAUCAUUAUUGUUAUUGGUGACUUCCUUGCAUUCCAGGAAUUCUGGGAGUCAUUACUCUGAGCUUAAUGUUUACUGUCUAAUUUUAAAAGCAAAUUCUGACUGGGUGUGGUGGCUCACACCUGUAAUCCCAACACUUUGGAAGGCCAAGGUGGGAGGAUCCCCUGAGCCCAAAAGUUCGAGAUCAGCCUAGGCAACAUAGCGAGACCCUGUCUCUACAAAAAAAAAAAAAAUUCCAGGCAUGGUGGAGCACACCUGUACUCCCAGGAGCUACUAGGGAGGCUAAGGCAGGAAGAGCACUUGAGCCCAGGAGUUCAAGGCUGUAGUGAGCUGUGAUCACACCACUGCACUCCAGCCUAGCCUGGGCUACAGAGCAAGACCCUGUCUCAAAAUAAAUUAAAUAAAUAAAUAAACAAACAAACAAAUAAAUUUGAGUACGAGUGAGGGACUCCCCAACGGAGAAGAGAACCAACUCCACGUCUUCUGGAUGAAUGUCUCACAUCCUCUAACGCCUCCCUGGCCUGUGUUUUCCAACUGAAAUGCCUUUUCCUUACCCUAAGCAGCUCCUCCUCCUUCUUCAAGGACCAGCUGAAAUGCAGACGCUGCCUCUCCUUCCCCUCCGGGAGCAGAACUGCACGGUGCUCUCCUGUUCUCCUGAACCCCUUGGAUAAGCCCCCAGUCAUAUUUCUCACACUUGAAUCAUCAAGUGAGCUUUGCUCUGUUGUUAUCUAACAGUGUGGAACAGCAUUUCGGAGUGAAGGAGUACACAGGGCAUGACCAAAGGAAAACUCUCAACUCACAGGAAACGACUAGCCGGAGACAUUUAACCUCCAGACUGAUGUGUGAGAACACAGGGAACAGUUCUCUAGCUGUGGAAGAGAAUCUCAAAAGCACUCAACUUCAUCCAGCCCUCCUCUGCAAUGACACUAGACUAGUUAGUUUUCUCCACUUAAAUUUAGCCUUUCUUGAUUUUUUGAAAAAUAGGAAGUCACUGAGGCUCCAAACACACCAGCAAGUAGGAGUAAACCGAAUCAAUUAAAUGUCAUGUACUAACCUUUU